This 468-nucleotide ribosomal RNA is filed under the name uncultured bacterium. RNAcentral describes it as "partial 16S ribosomal RNA". It matches the Rfam family "Bacterial small subunit ribosomal RNA", at positions 28 to 507 of the family's 1533-position model. The record is from RNAcentral.
GACGAACGCUGGCGGCGUGCUUAACACAUGCAAGUCGAACGGAAAGGCCCGGCUUUUGUGGGGUGCUCGAGUGGCGAACGGGUGAGUAACACGUGAGUAACCUGCCCUUGACUUUGGGAUAACUUCAGGAAACUGGGGCUAAUACCGGAUAGGAGCUCCUGCUGCAUGGUGGGGGUUGGAAAGUUUCGGCGGUUGGGGAUUGACUCGCGGCUUAUCAGCUUGUUGGUGGGGUAGUGGCUUACCAAGACUUUGCCGGGUAGCCGGCCUGAGAGGGUGACCGGCCACAUUGGGACUGAGAUACGGCCCAGACUCCUACGGGAGGCAGCAGUGGAGAAUAUUGCACAAUGGGCGGAAGCCUGAUGCAGCACCGCCGCGUGCGGGAUGACGGCCUUCGGGUUGUGAACCGCUUUCGCCUGUGACGAAGCGUGAGUGACGGUAAUGGGUAAAGAAGCACCGGCUAACUACGUG